RNAcentral lists this ribosomal RNA (425 nucleotides) under uncultured bacterium. RNAcentral describes it as "partial 16S ribosomal RNA". It matches the Rfam family "Bacterial small subunit ribosomal RNA", at positions 354 to 796 of the family's 1533-position model. The record is from RNAcentral.
GUGGGGAAUCUUGCGCAAUGGGCGAAAGCCUGACGCAGCCAUGCCGCGUGAAUGAUGAAGGUCUUAGGAUUGUAAAAUUCUUUCACCGGGGACGAUAAUGACGGUACCCGGAGAAGAAGCCCCGGCUAACUUCGUGCCAGCAGCCGCGGUAAUACGAAGGGGGCUAGCGUUGCUCGGAAUUACUGGGCGUAAAGGGCGCGUAGGCGGACAGUUUAGUCAGAGGUGAAAGCCCAGGGCUCAACCUUGGAAUUGCCUUUGAUACUGGCUGUCUUGGGUACGGGGGAGGUGGGUGGAACUCCGAGUGUAGAGGUGAAAUUCGUAGAUAUUCGGAAGAACACCAGUGGCGAAGGCGACUCACUGGCCCGUUACUGACGCUGAGGCGCGAAAGCGUGGGGAGCAAACAGGAUUAGAAACCCUGGUAGUCC